RNAcentral lists this ribosomal RNA (443 nucleotides) under uncultured bacterium. Its description in RNAcentral is "partial 16S ribosomal RNA". It matches the Rfam family "Bacterial small subunit ribosomal RNA", at positions 338 to 795 of the family's 1533-position model. The record is from RNAcentral.
CCUACGGGAGGCAGCAGUGGGGAAUAUUGGACAAUGGGGGGAACCCUGAUCCAGCGACGCCGCGUGAGUGAAGAAGUCUUUCGGUAUGUAAAGCUCUAUCAGCAGGGAAGAAAGACAUGACGGUACCUGACUAAGAAGCCCCGGCUAACUACGUACCAGCAGCCGCGGUACUACGUAGGGGGCAAGGGUUAUCCGGAUUUACUGGGUGUAAAGGGAGGGGAGACGGCGAUGCAAGUCUGAAGUGAACGGCGGGUGCCCAAACCCCGGACUGCUUUGGAAACUGUAAGGCUGGAGUGCAGGACAGGUAAGUGGAAUUCCUAGUGUAGCGGUGAAAUGCGUAGAUAUUAGGAGGAACACCAGUGGCGAAGGCGGCUUACUGGACUGUAACUGACGUUGAGGCUCGAAAGCGUGGGGAGCAAACAGGAUUAGAUACCCUUGUAGUC